This 301-nucleotide ribosomal RNA is filed under the name uncultured bacterium. RNAcentral's name for it is "partial 16S ribosomal RNA". It matches the Rfam family "Bacterial small subunit ribosomal RNA", at positions 509 to 807 of the family's 1533-position model. The record is from RNAcentral.
CAGCCGCCGCGGUAAUACGGAGGGCGCGAGCGUUACCCGGAUUUACUGGGCGUAAAGGGCGUGUAGGCGGCCUGGGGCGUCCCAUGUGAAAGGCCACGGCUCAACCGUGGAGGAGCGUGGGAUACGCUCAGGCUAGAGGGUGGGAGAGGGUGGUGGAAUUCCCGGAGUAGCGGUGAAAUGCGCAGAUACCGGGAGGAACGCCGAUGGCGAAGGCAGCCACCUGGUCCACUUCUGACGCUGAGGCGCGAAAGCGCGGGGAGCAAACCGGAUUAGAUACCCCCGUAGUCCCUGUCUCUUAUAC